Molecule: long non-coding RNA, 623 nt
Organism: Tupaia belangeri chinensis (Chinese tree shrew)
Lineage: Eukaryota; Metazoa; Chordata; Mammalia; Scandentia; Tupaiidae
Exons: 5
Source: RefSeq, a predicted model, not a curated record
GCUGAGUGCAGCUGCAGACGCUCAGCGCGAGCUGGGGAAAGCGCUUAUCUCCUAGGGUCCCCUGCGCUGCUGGCGCUCUCCGAAGCAACCUUGGCAAAACCAGGAGCCUUGUUGAGAAUACAAACAGGAUGAGCUCACCCUCCUUUCCCAUCCCUGCACUGACAAGCACCUGGGGGUGGUGCCUGAAAAUCCUUUCGCGAAACUACGUAGCAGCCCACGCAAGCAGACCUGGCAUCUGCAUUUUUAAUAAGCAUCUGUUCAUGAAGAUACAAGAAUUUGUCUGUCUGCAAAGUAGGAAGAAUGCCCUCAUCAGAAACAGAAUCUGUUGGCAACCUGAUCUUGGACUCCCCAGCUUCCAAAACUAGAGAGAAGGAGCACCCCGAACAGUCUUGGUGACACAAUCCACCCCCAGCUUCAACUGACCCUAAAUCACGGGCACGUGCGUGCUGGCAUACUUAGGGAGUUCUCUGGACAUGAACCCAGGACCUUCCCGGGUAGGUCAGCUUCACAAAACAUUGCUUUUCAGUGCUGUGCCAUCAUCUGGCCGCCCACAAAUCGUGUUUUAAUGGAAAGUUUGCUAAAGAGGAAGAGCCAGGAGUGUCAUUCUAGAAAAUAAAUUCAAC